RNAcentral lists this ribosomal RNA (495 nucleotides) under uncultured bacterium. RNAcentral's name for it is "partial 16S ribosomal RNA". It matches the Rfam family "Bacterial small subunit ribosomal RNA", at positions 28 to 506 of the family's 1533-position model. The record is from RNAcentral.
GACGAACGCUGGCGGCGUGCCUAAUACAUGCAAGUUGAGCGCUGACGGUUGGUACUUUUCCCGUCUGGUGGAGCAGCGCACGGGGGAGUGACGCGUGGGGGAUCUUCCUUUGAGCGGGGGCAACAUUUGUAGACGCAUUCUAAUACCGCAUAAAAACUUUAAACACAAGUUUUAAGGUUCAAAGAUGCAAUUGCAUCACUCAAAGAUGAUCCCGCGUUGUAUUAGCUAGUUGGUGAGGUAACGGCUCACCAAGGCGAUGAUACAUAGCCGACCUGAGAGGGUGAUCGGCCACAUUGGGACUGAGACACGGCCCAAACUCCUACGGGAGGCAGCAGUAGGGAAUCUUCGGCAAAGGACGAAAGUCUGACCGAGCAACGCCGCGUGAGUGAAGAAGGUUUUCGGAUCGUAAAACUCUGUUGGUAGAGAAGAACGUUGGUGAGAGUGGAAAGCUCAUCAAGUGACGGUAACGAACAAGAAAGGGACGGCUAACUACGU